Molecule: ribosomal RNA, 305 nt
Filed under: uncultured bacterium
Lineage: Bacteria
Description: bacterial SSU rRNA
Rfam family: Bacterial small subunit ribosomal RNA
Source: RNAcentral
GGAGGCCUACGGGAGGCAGCAGUGGGGAAUAUUGCACAAUGGGGGAAACCCUGAUGCAGCGACGCCGCGUGAGUGAAGAAGUAUUUCGGUAUGUAAAGCUCUAUCAGCAGGGAAGAUAAUGACGGUACCUGACUAAGAAGCCCCGGCUAACUACGUGCCAGCAGCCGCGGUAAUACGUAGGGGGCAAGCGUUAUCCGGAUUUACUGGGUGUAAAGGGAGCGUAGGCGGGAGUGCAAGUCAGAUGUGAAAACUAUGGGCUCAACCCAUAGCCUGCAUUUGAAACUGUACUUCUUGAGUGCUGGAGG